CAAACUCCCUCUCGUGCUCUCUCUCUCCCUCUCUCUUUCCCUCUUCUUUUCUUUCUUUCUUUUCCUCCUCCUUCUCAUUUUCACCCGUUACCAUCUCAUCACCUGCGACAAUUCAAAAUACCUCGACCAGGUGAAGUUUCAACGACUCUCCCAUGACCAAAAUGACGUUAGAUUCCGAUGAGAGAAAAAAUUGUAAAGAGAGAGAAAAUGAGUUUCUAAACUUUGAAAUCUCAUUUCUUGCAAUCCUGACAUUCGAUCAAAGUGAUUCCAAUGGCUAUAAAUUUUUUGUGAAGAGAGAUUUUAGAUGGGACCAAUUUCGUCGGAUAUGGUUCUUAUUUCCGGCACUGGUGAGGAGAGAGAAAAUCAUGAAGAGAGAGAACAAGCAACCAAAACUUUCUGACAUCAUUUUCGGUAAUUUCGAUGUCGGAUUAAAGCAUUUCCGGUAGUGUUUAGACUUCUGGCUGUAUGGGUUUUCAUUUGGGACCAACCCUAUUGGAUUUUAUGAAGUUUUUGGUGAGAUUGAAGAGAGAGAAAAUUGAGACUUAUAUCUCAGAUCUCGGCCGAUUAAUGAUGUAUUUCAAU
This 582-nucleotide long non-coding RNA is filed under the name Manihot esculenta (cassava). RNAcentral describes it as "long non-coding RNA (MESC_LNC000394)". Lineage: Eukaryota; Viridiplantae; Streptophyta; Magnoliopsida; Malpighiales; Euphorbiaceae. The record is from RNAcentral.